GCUAUGAUGGCCGAGUGGUUAAGGUGUUGGACUCGAAAUCCAAUGGGGUUUCCUUGCACAGGUUCAAACCCUGUUCACAACG
RNAcentral lists this transfer RNA (82 nucleotides) under Albula glossodonta (roundjaw bonefish). It matches the Rfam family "tRNA". Rfam says of the family: Transfer RNA (tRNA) molecules are approximately 80 nucleotides in length. Their secondary structure includes four short double-helical elements and three loops (D, anti-codon, and T loops). The record is from Rfam by way of RNAcentral. Lineage: Eukaryota; Metazoa; Chordata; Actinopteri; Albuliformes; Albulidae.